RNAcentral lists this ribosomal RNA (329 nucleotides) under uncultured bacterium. RNAcentral describes it as "bacterial SSU rRNA". It matches the Rfam family "Bacterial small subunit ribosomal RNA", at positions 568 to 898 of the family's 1533-position model. The record is from RNAcentral.
UGCGUAGGCGGGUCUUUAAGUCAGGGGUGAAAUCCUGGAGCUCAACUCCAGAACUGCCUUUGAUACUGAGGAUCUUGAGUUCGGGAGAGGUGAGUGGAACUGCGAGUGUAGAGGUGAAAUUCGUAGAUAUUCGCAAGAACACCAGUGGCGAAGGCGGCUCACUGGCCCGAUACUGACGCUGAGGCACGAAAGCGUGGGAGCAAACAGGAUUAGAUACCCUGGUAGUCCACGCCGUAAACGAUGAAUGCCAGCCGUUAGUGGGUUUACUCACUAGUGGCGCAGCUAACGCUUUAAGCAUUCCGCCUGGGGAGUACGGUCGCAAGAUUAAA